This 492-nucleotide ribosomal RNA is filed under the name uncultured bacterium. RNAcentral describes it as "partial 16S ribosomal RNA". It matches the Rfam family "Bacterial small subunit ribosomal RNA", at positions 29 to 507 of the family's 1533-position model. The record is from RNAcentral.
AGUGAACGCUGGCGGUAGGCCUAACACAUGCAAGUCGAACGGCAGCACAGUAAGAGCUUGCUCUUACGGGUGGCGAGUGGCGGGCGGGUGAGGAAUACAUCGGAAUCUACUUUUUCGAGGGGGAUAACGUCGGGAAACUUACGCUAAUACCGCAUACGACCUACGGGUGAAAGCAGGGGAUCUUCAGACCUUGCGCGAUUGAAUGAGCCGAUGUCGGAUUAGCUAGUUGGCGGGGUAAGGGGCCACCAAUGCGACGAUCCGUAGCUGGUCUGAGGGGAUGUUCAGCCACACUGGAACUGAGACACGGUCCAGACUCCGACGGGAGGACGCAGUGGGGAAUAUUGGACAAUGGGCGCAAGCCUGAUCCAGCCAUACCGCGUGGGUGAAGAAGGCCUUCGGGUUGUAAAGCCCUUUUGUUGGGAAAGAAAAGCAGCAGGUUAAUACCCCGCUGUUCUGACGGUACCCAAAGAAUAAGCACCGGCUAACUUCGUG